This 400-nucleotide ribosomal RNA is filed under the name uncultured bacterium. Its description in RNAcentral is "bacterial SSU rRNA". It matches the Rfam family "Bacterial small subunit ribosomal RNA", at positions 28 to 431 of the family's 1533-position model. The record is from RNAcentral.
GACGAACGCUGGCGGCGUGCUUAACACAUGCAAGUCGAGCGGUAAGGCCCUUUCGGGGUACGACGAGCGGCGAACGGGUGAGUAACACGUGGGUGACCUGCCCUCAGCUCUGGGAUAAGCCUGGGAAACCGGGUCUAAUACUGGAUAUGACUCCAUGACGCAUGUUGGUGGGGUGGAAAGCCUUGUGCGGCUGAGGAUGGGCCCGCGGCCUAUCAGCUUGUUGGUGGGGUGAGGCCUACCAAGGCGACGACGGGUAGCCGGCCUGAGAGGGCGACCGGCCACACUGGGACUGAGACACGGCCCAGACUCCUACGGGAGGCAGCAGUGGGGAAUUGUUCGCAAUGGGCGCAAGCCUGACGACGCAACGCCGCGUGGAGGAUGAAGACCUCGGUCGUAACGU